AUAAUUAGGAGAUACCAUGAUCACGAAGGUGGUUUUCCCAGGGCGAGGCUCACCCAUUGCUCUCCGGGUAUGCUGACCCCUGCGAUUUCCCCAAAUGUGGGAAACUCGACUGCAUAAUUUGUGGUAGUGGGGGACUGCAUUCGUGCUAUCCCCUG
Molecule: small nuclear RNA, 155 nt
Filed under: Echinops telfairi (small Madagascar hedgehog)
Lineage: Eukaryota; Metazoa; Chordata; Mammalia; Afrosoricida; Tenrecidae
Description: U1 spliceosomal RNA (ENSETEG00000021108.1)
Rfam family: U1 spliceosomal RNA
About the family: U1 is a small nuclear RNA (snRNA) component of the spliceosome (involved in pre-mRNA splicing). Its 5' end forms complementary base pairs with the 5' splice junction, thus defining the 5' donor site of an intron.
Source: RNAcentral